CGACGACGUUGAUAGGCCGGGUGUGUAAGCGCAGCGAUGCGUUGAGCUAACCGGUACUAAUGAACCGUGAGGCUUAACCUUACAACGCCGAAG
RNAcentral lists this ribosomal RNA (93 nucleotides) under Escherichia coli. RNAcentral's name for it is "partial 23S ribosomal RNA". The stretch from base 1 to 81 matches the Rfam family "Bacterial large subunit ribosomal RNA", at positions 2845 to 2925 of the family's 2925-position model. Lineage: Bacteria; Pseudomonadati; Pseudomonadota; Gammaproteobacteria; Enterobacterales; Enterobacteriaceae. The record is from RNAcentral. RNAcentral also lists the same sequence under 10 other names.